Coregonus clupeaformis (lake whitefish) is the source of this 1389-nucleotide long non-coding RNA. RefSeq lists it as uncharacterized. NCBI's taxonomy places the organism in Eukaryota, Metazoa, Chordata, Actinopteri, Salmoniformes, Salmonidae. The record is from RefSeq and is a predicted model, not a curated record. The transcript has 3 exons.
AUUCAACUGCACUUACCAAGACCUGACUCAGUUAAGGAAACUGUUUGGAAGAUUGCUUGUGAAAUGAACCAGGAUGACGUUUCCUCGGUUGUAAGGAGUGAAACUGAAUUCCUUUGUAUCGGCGAGUCACUGUUGAAUUCCAGGAAACCAUAUGAGAGAAGGAAUGACUACAUAGGCCAAAAAAUUAGAGCGAUGGCAAGACUAUUGAUAACGGCAAGGGCUAUAACACCUUUGAAGAGCACCGAAGUCCUUGUUAUGCCCUGUAACUUUCCCCAUGUGAUACAGGCAGUAAGAUAUGUUGCUGGUUAUGAUGUUGAAAGCAACUCGUAUAAAAUCCCAUCAUUGGCUUUGAAAUUGGGACACAGUUUAGCCAAAGUUGCAGGCAUUAUUCAAUGCAAUGCCAUCACUGCAAAUCGCCCUGCUGUUGCAGAGUCUGCAAAGCAAUUUGCCACUUUACAUCAGAAAAAGUGGACAGAGUCCAUUUCAGCUGCCGCAUUGGGUACACUUCAACAGGCCAAAUGGAAUAAACCACAGGUUUGACCCUUUACAGAGGAUGUGUCGGUGCUGCACACGUUUCUUGCUACUGAGCGUGCUAAGUGUAUGAAGGACCUUGAGGAAGAACCCAACAGCAAAAGCUUUGGAAAUCUUCCUAAAGUGACUUUGAUGCAGGUAGUACUAUUUAACAGAAGGAGGGAAGGGGAAGUUUCAAAAAUGGAGCUUCAGUCUUUCACAUCCAGGGAUCUUACGGAGCUGAAUCCAGACAUUGUGAGGGGCCUUACUGACUUCGAGAGGAAGCUUGCAGAGCACUUUGAGAGAGUUGAGAUUCGAGGUAAAAGGUCAAGAAAGGUUCCAGUGCUUCUAACCCCUGACAUGAUCACUGCUAUGGACCUCCUCAUGAUAAGCAGAAAAGAGUGUCAAGUCCACAAAGAAAAUGUGUACAUGUUUACACGGCCAGGUGUCCUUUCCCAUUACAGAGGCUCCGACUGCUUUCGCAAGUAUUCAAACAAUGUGGUGCAAAGAACCCAGAGGCACUCACCUCAACAAGAUUGCGGAAACAAGUCGCCACUUUGUCCACACUACUAAACCUCAAAGAAAAUGAAAUGGAUCAACUUGCCACCUUUCUAGGACAUGACAUCCGUGUCCAUAGAGAAUUCUAUCGGCUUCCAGAGAGUACCCUGCAGCUCGCAAAAGUCAGCAAACUGUUGAUAGCAAUCGAAAAAGGAAGACUGCCUUACCUGCAGGGGAAAGGGCUGGAUGACAUUGAGGUCAAUCCUGAAGUAGAAAUGAGUGAUGAUGAUUCCAGUGAAGAAACCAUUGCUGACCUACAUCAAUGCAAAGGCUCAACAACAGAGACUUCUAGGGACCAGACACUUCUGAGGCAAACACCAG